Molecule: ribosomal RNA, 247 nt
Filed under: uncultured bacterium
Lineage: Bacteria
Description: partial 16S ribosomal RNA
Rfam family: Bacterial small subunit ribosomal RNA
Source: RNAcentral
AGAUGGCGACCGGCGCACGGGUGAGUAACACGUAUCCAACCUGCCGAUAACUCGGGGAUAGCCUUUCGAAAGGAAGAUUAAUACCCGAUGGCAUAAUUAGACCGCAUGGUCUUAUUAUUAAAGAAUUUCGGUUAUCGAUGGGGAUGCGUUCCAUUAGGCAGUUGGUGAGGUAACGGCUCACCAAACCUUCGAUGGAUAGGGGUUCUGAGAGGAAGGUCCCCCACAUUGGAACUGAGACACGGUCCAA